AUUGGAGCGGCCGAUGUCAGAUUAGGUAGUUGGUGGGGUAAAGGCCUACCAAGCCUACGAUCUGUAGCUGGUCUGAGAGGACGACCAGCCACACUGGGACUGAGACACGGCCCAGACUCCUACGGAGGGGGCAGCAGGUGGGGAAUUUUUGGACAAUGGGCGCAAGCCUGAUCCAGCCAUGCCGCGUGCAGGACGAAGGCCUUCGGGUUAGUAAACUGUCUUUUGUACAGAACGGAAAGGGCUCUGGUUAAUACCUGGGGCAGAUGACGGUACUGUAAGAAUAAGCACCGGCUAACUACGUG
Molecule: ribosomal RNA, 302 nt
Filed under: uncultured bacterium
Lineage: Bacteria
Description: bacterial SSU rRNA
Rfam family: Bacterial small subunit ribosomal RNA
Source: RNAcentral